Molecule: non-coding RNA, 381 nt
Organism: Ceratotherium simum simum (southern white rhinoceros)
Lineage: Eukaryota; Metazoa; Chordata; Mammalia; Perissodactyla; Rhinocerotidae
Source: RefSeq, a predicted model, not a curated record
UUCUUUAACAACAAAAAGAAGUCACUCAAUACCUUCAUUUGACAGAAGAGGAAAUGAGGGCUCACAGAAGGGGAAUAAUUUGUCCUGUCACUCAGGAAGUACAUGGCAAAGAUAGGACCAGAAUUCAGCUUGUUUAAUACUGUUACUCAGGCAUCUGAUACCCACUUCCUAAGUGUCAAUUAACGUGCUGGGCUAAUUCUUGCAGAUUUCAAGGAGGAGAUGAUAUACGAAGCUUGAGGGAGUGGAAAGUUUAUAUAAUGGUAAAGUAAGGGCAUAUGGUAAAACUAAAUCCCAGAUCUCAGCUUUUGAACUUGCUUUGACUUUGAUCAAGUGACUUGCUCUAAGUCUCCAUCUGUCUUUAAAUAGAAGCAGUAAUAGUAC